ACGGGGAGCAGCAGGCGCGAAAACUUUACAAUGCGGGAAACCGUGAUAAGGGGACACCGAGUGCCAGCAUCAUAUGCUGGCUGUCCAGGUGUGUAAAAUACACCUGUUAGCAAGGGCCGGGCAAGACCGGUGCCAGCCGCCGCGGUAACACCGGCGGCCCGAGUGGUGAUCGUGAUUAUUGGGUCUAAAGGGUCCGUAGCCGGUUUGGUCAGUCCUCCGGGAAAUCUGACAGCUCAACUGUUAGGCUUUCGGGGGAUACUGCCAGACUUGGAACCGGGAGAGGUAAGAGGUACUACAGGGGUAGGAGUGAAAUCUUGUAAUCCCUGUGGGACCACCUGUGGCGAAGGCGUCUUACCAGAACGGGUUCGACGGUGAGGGACGAAAGCUGGGGGCACGAACCGGAUUAGAUACCCGGGUAGUCCCAGCCGUAAACGAUGCUCGCUAGGUGUCAGGCAUGGCGCGACCGUGUCUGGUGCCGCAGGGAAGCCGUGAAGCGAGCCACCUGGGAAGUACGGCCGCAAGGCUGAAACUUAAAGGAAUUGGCGGGGGAGCAC
Molecule: ribosomal RNA, 554 nt
Filed under: uncultured archaeon
Lineage: Archaea
Description: bacterial SSU rRNA
Rfam family: Archaeal small subunit ribosomal RNA
Source: RNAcentral